UACGGAGGGGGCGAGCGUUAUUCGGAAUUACUGGGCGUAAAGGGCGCGUAGGCGGCCUGCUAAGUCGAACGUGAAAUCCCUGGGCUCAACCCAGGAACUGCGUCCGAUACUGGUUGGCUUGAAUCCGGGAGAGGGACGUGGAAUUCCAGGUGUAGCGGUGAAAUGCGUAGAUAUCGAGAGGAACACCUGCGGCGAAGGCGGGUAGCUGGGCCGACACUGACGCUGAGGCGCGAAAGCCAGGGGAGCGAACGGG
This 253-nucleotide ribosomal RNA is filed under the name uncultured bacterium. Its description in RNAcentral is "partial 16S ribosomal RNA". It matches the Rfam family "Bacterial small subunit ribosomal RNA", at positions 524 to 776 of the family's 1533-position model. The record is from RNAcentral.